This 460-nucleotide ribosomal RNA is filed under the name uncultured bacterium. RNAcentral describes it as "partial 16S ribosomal RNA". It matches the Rfam family "Bacterial small subunit ribosomal RNA", at positions 338 to 795 of the family's 1533-position model. The record is from RNAcentral.
CCUACGGGAGGCAGCAGUGAGGAAUAUUGGUCAAUGGACGAGAGCCUGAACCAGCCAAGUAGCGUGAAGGAUGACUGCCCUAUGGGUUGUAAACUUCUUUUAUAUGGGAAUAAAAUGUUCCACGUGUGGGAUUUUGUAUGUACCAUAUGAAUAAGGAUCGGCUAACUCCGUGCCAGCAGCCGCGGUAAUACGGAGGAUCCGAGCGUUAUCCGGAUUUAUUGGGUUUAAAGGGAGCGUAGGUGGAUUGUUAAGUCAGUUGUGAAAGUUUGCGGCUCAACUGUAAAAUUGCAGUUGAAACUGGCAGUCUUGAGUACAGUAGAGGUGGGCGGAAUUCGUGGUGUAGCGGUGAAAUGCUUAGAUAUCACGAAGAACUCCGAUUGCGAAGGCAGCUCACUGGACUGCAACUGACACUGAGGCUCGAAAGUGUGGGUAUCAAACAGGAUUAGAUACCCUUGUAGUC